AUAGUAGGCCCUGAUCCAUAGACUUAUAUAUAAAUAGACCCAGCGUUCUGUGAGAGGAGUUGUCCGCGUCUUCUAAAGGACGGAACGAUAUGCAUCCAGGUGCUGUCUCCGUCGCUCCGCCGUUCUGGAGGGGGAACGUCGAUGGAUAACGUUGAAGGAAAGCGAACUUAAAGGCGCGUGUACCGCACUUAUAUGUGUAAUAGGGUUAGGUUAGGUUACACGGAAAAAGACACAGAAAAUGUCUCAGUGUUGCAUUUGCAAAUCGCAUUGUGGCUCCCAUGCAGAUAUUACAUUUCAUACCAUACCACGGUCAGAAGAAUUUCGAGCAAAACACAUAUAAGUGCGGUACACGCGCCUUUAAGUUCGCUUUCCUUCAACGUUAUCCAUCGACGUUCCCCCUCCAGACCGGCGGAGCGACGGAGACAGCACCUGGAUGCAUAUCGUUCCGUCCUUUAGAAGACGCGGACAACUCCUCUCACAGAACGCUGGG
Long non-coding RNA from Pseudomyrmex gracilis, 490 nucleotides. RefSeq lists it as uncharacterized. The record is from RefSeq and is a predicted model, not a curated record. NCBI's taxonomy places the organism in Eukaryota, Metazoa, Arthropoda, Insecta, Hymenoptera, Formicidae. The transcript is spliced from 2 exons.